This 645-nucleotide long non-coding RNA is filed under the name Gopherus agassizii (Agassiz's desert tortoise). RNAcentral describes it as "lncRNA (ENSGAGG00000011913.1)". Lineage: Eukaryota; Metazoa; Chordata; Testudines; Testudinidae. The record is from RNAcentral.
GCCUAUGGUCUCCAAGGACUGUUUCAGCAGCUAAGGUUUGGCUCGAAGUUAUGGCUCCCUACUCUGGGAGCUAAAAGGAAUGGCACAGAAAGUGGCCAGUGAAAGAUACUUAUUUUUUAAAAGUCUAUUGAUUGUCCAUCUAGCUUUCUAAUGAAGACUGGAGUUCAUGGCAACAAAAUAACAUAUUUUAUUUAAGAAACAUACCCAGCAAAGUCAUACACGUGUCUUUUGUGACCAGCCAUUUCUGGGAAACUGACAUUUUAUUUCUCCCCCUCCAGCAUCUGUAAAUUCAUGGAGUGCCCUGCAUUUGAUUAACUUCUGCUGUCCUUCACAUCCUCUACACAAAAGAUUCUCAUUUAAUGAAAGCCAUGUCGCUAGUUCCUUUAGUGCGAUCCAGAGUUGCUCCUGGGUCACCUAGAACUGUAGCUUUUGCUGAUGUGAAGACUUCCUGCUCACGGAUAGCACGACAUGAGGCCCUACUUGCUCCAGAGCCUGAUUAGCAUGGAUCUCCUGGCACACAGAAAGGCAAAGCUGUCUGAAAAUAGAAAAAGAGGAAGAGACUGUAAAAUCUACCAAACAAAUAUGAAGAAACUGUUUUUGAAAGUAAUUUAGGGUGAGAUUCAAUAAAAGUAUGUCUAGUUUGCA